Long non-coding RNA from Pipra filicauda (Wire-tailed manakin), 9274 nucleotides. RefSeq lists it as uncharacterized. The transcript has 3 exons. NCBI's taxonomy places the organism in Eukaryota, Metazoa, Chordata, Aves, Passeriformes, Pipridae. The record is from RefSeq and is a predicted model, not a curated record.
UCUGGCAAUCGAAGCACGCCGCAGAACGGAGCAAGGCCGCCAGAGACAAACGUGCAUUUCAGUCUGAGAGGGAGCUUUCGAGGUUGGGUUUGGGGUACAGAGGAUACCAGCAGACCUCUGGGAGUUGCAUCGUGUGCUUAAAGCAAAAUGAGAGGAAGAGGAGUGAGCUGGCAUCUGACUGUGAAAAGGAAAAACCCCCAAAAAGCGAGAGUCACCUAGUGGGAAGGAGACAAAGGCUCUGCUGCUGCAUUUCUUGGGGUGUAAGUGAUAAAUGAUUAGGGACAGCUGCUAAAGCUUGAAGCUUCUAAAUCUGUUCUGGUGGUCAUUAAUACGGUAUUUCAUCAUUAAAUAGCUCCAUGAUCUGCAGUCGCUUCCUGUUUUCUGCUGCAGAGUCACAGAAGAAGCCAUAAAUAUGAAAAGCACAGUGCCUGAAGAAGGCAAAGGAAAAAUAAGGUGAGCAUCCUGUCUCAGCUCACUGCAGCAUGAGAGUAUUGGGUGGGUGCUUACCCCAACUUCAACACUUACAGGUGAGUAGGAAAUAUUUUCUCUGGGCAAUUUGUUUCUUUGAUACCUUCAUUCCUUACUAUCCAAUGUGUGUCAUUUAUUUUGCCUACUUUCUCAGGAAAAGGCUUGUACAACUUAUGUGGUUAAAUAGAAUCAUGAUCCAAGUAUUUUGAUGUACUUUUUUUUUUUAAUAAAAAAUAAUUGAAAAACAAUCAGUGAAAUAUGUGUUCCAGAUGAAUACCAACAAUGUAAAUUACAAGAGUAGACAUUCAAACAUUAUCAAAGGCCUGCAACUUUUUGAAUUUCUAGCUGGGUUUUGACUACCACUCUCCUGUUCCAAUGUCUGUCUCCAGAGUCACAAAUUUUUGUAUCUUUUUAUUUUUUUUCAAGCUGACUCCUGCCCUCAAGGUCUCUUAAUAUUCCCCUUCUUGCAUUCUAAUCUGGCUGAUGGUCAGCCUAAGGAAUCUUCAUCAUUGCUAAUUUCCUCCCUGCAUUAUGAGCUUUUGGGUGAGGCCUUCUCAGACAGCUGAAGGUCUUACACUGACCCAAGUUAUGUCAAGGUUGCUCUCCUGACUGCUGUCCAUUAGCAUCUCUGUGGAGAUCAUCUGCCCUCAGACUGGUACCUGCCCCAUUUUUGUCAUUGAGGCUUUGUUGCUCCACCUGUGGCAGUGGUGCUCAGGUUUAUCUGAUUUGUGUCCCUACAACUAGAACUUUGUCUCUCUGGUGCUGUUUCUGAAGUUUGAUGUUCUGAUUAUUAUCUGACUUGUUUAUUUGCUAAUUUUGUAUGUAUGCAUCCCUAUUGGAAUACUCGGGGACUUGUCUAACUUUCAGUUCACCUACUUGUGAGUGCCCAGCUGGGGUGGCCUGGGCUGCUUUUUCACACCUCUAUGCAGCGAGGGAAGUCUCUCACUGUCUUUUGUGCCACAGGCACAUCCCAAAGCUCAGUAGGGUCACACUAUGCCUUUGAAGCGAGGAUUUAAAACAACUGAGGCCGCUUUUCCUCCAUUUUGAGCCUCACUGAUGAAAACAAUAGCAAUAACUAAAGCACCCUGAGCUCAGAGUGUUGCAAUAUUUGCCCUCCCAGUCUGCACAGGUGAAACCGCAGCAUCUCCCUACCUGCCUUCAGCAACUGUGCUUCUCCACCUCUGGUAUGUUCCCAAGCUCUUCUCCAGAGAGCUUUCUAUGAUGCAAAGAGGUCAAUAAUACAAAUAAUUAAUGUCAAGUGGCUGUCAAUAGAUACUAGGUCUAAAAACAUAGCACAUGUAAACCCAUAUUAAUUAAUUGCAUCCCACUCUGAAAUUUGAACAGUAAGCAAAUUAGGAGGGAUAGUAUGGUGAUAAUGAUCAAUGCUUAUUUUUUCUGGGGAGAUGUUGAGAAGCAGAGCAGCUUUGGCACAGCUAAGUCCUUCCUGGAGUUGGUUUAUCUCUCCCCUUCUUCUGAAAUUGAAUUUUUAAAUAUUUGGUUGUUAAGGGUAUAAUACCUACUUUACAGAAAGUUGAGGUACUCAAUCACAAUAUUAAAAAUUCCUUUAAUGUAUUUAUUUAAAAUACAAAACCAGAAAUUACGUAGGAAAGCAUCAGAGGAAAAAUUAUAUUUUUAUCUUGACACACAGAUUGCUUUUUCAUGUGAUCUGAUCCACAUUCUUGCUAUUUAUAUUUCAUACUUAAUCCUUGCAUCUGGUACAUUUAGUCAAAUCCAAUCCUCUGCUCUCAGAAGCAUUUCAGCAUCUUCUGAACAAGACGGAGGAGCAGGGAUCUCAUCCUGGCACACACAGGCCUUGAAGGGGGUAAUAGCAAACAAGACAUGUCAGUCAGACCAAGUCUCCAACACCACCAUGCUAAAAAGAGCCCAUAUGAAAGAUUUUUUCAUAUAGACAUAUCAAUAUUUGUGGAAUGGAAGCUAUUGGGGUUUUUUCUCUGAUAUUUGGAGGGCAGAUAUCUGAUAGUGUCAGGUUCUCUGUGUUUCAAAGUUUUUUUUGCAAAUGGAACAGUGGAGGAAAGAGCUACAGGAAUAAAAGAUAUAGAAAGGCCCUGUUUUUUAAUAUAUAAAAUAAUCUCACUAGAAUGAACAAGGAGGAGACAAAUAGGGAAACAGAGUAACAUAUUUUUACCUUUAGAAUAAUACAGUUCUUUGCUCAGGUGUAGAAAGUUUUCAGUACAAGUUUUUUCUUUGCACACUCAAUCUGACCCAAGUCCAGGCUGCUGCCCACGCCAGUCUUUGUCUCUCCUGCUGAUUCCCUGCCAAUAGUUUCAGGACCCAGCGAUAGUGCAGUGAAAACAAUCUCCCUUCUGAGGGCAGUUUCUCAGAGGGGCAGGUGACCAUGAACAUCGGUGCAGUUACGAGGAGCUGAUGCGGUGUGAGGAAUCUGGAAGGGAGCAGGGUGGAGAAGCCAAGGGGAGGGAGAGCCCGGUAUUGUGCUGCCCAGGGACCACCCUGCACUGGAUUGGGGCAGGGGGUGCAUCACCUGAAGCUCUUCCCUUACCUAACAGCGAGCAUCACUUCCUAGGAGCAGGAACAGUUGGCUGGGUGAGAGCUGGCUUUUCAUCACAUAAGUGCCUGUCUGGAGGACACCCUCCUCCCAAGGCAGAAGCUAUCCAAGUUCAGCAGCUAAGGAGAGAGUAAGUGAUGAGGGGUGGGAUCCUGCUGCCUGGCCAUAAGCAUGAAGGAGUGUGUGAAAUACCAUGUUCAAGCACACAAAUCUUGUUCCAAGGAACAGUGCUUUGUGAGAGGAAGGGCUGGGAAUCACCACAGAUUUUCCCAUGCAUCCUCCUCAUGUUCUUCCUUUGAACUCUUUGGCUUCUGCAGAGGAAAGGAGUCAUGGCAGAUAUCCAAGAACAGCAUUUUCUCAGCUAGCAUCACUGUGAGAAGCUGAUAGGUGAACACCUCCUAUCUGGGGGAGGAAAAACGUAAAGGAAGAGCAGGGAGAGGAAAAGAGACAAUAUCUUCAAGUGGUUAAGAGUUAAGGAGCCUGCCUCUUAGGUGCCACUGAACUGAAAGUAGCAAGAAAAGUUCUCCAAACCAAGAUCUUAACUUUGGUCAUGCUGGAUAUUCUUCCAGCCAAGUAGCACAAUUUGUUGAGCACAACAAUUUCUCACAGACUACUCUGUGGAGUCCCUUUGGAUGCUGAGAAACUGAGCAGUUUUUCCUCAGUCUCUGAUGGAGUAGCCAGUGUUAUCAAAACAUGGUGAGCUGCAGUAAUUCCUACAAUUAUUCAUGACUGAUUUAUCACUUGAUUUUAGGAAUUCAGUUUAAAUAGAUUUUUUUCCAUCUCCCCUGCUCCCUAAUUGAUUAUUUUUUUGAAUGCUGAACCUUUGAGUUCCUCUCAUAAAAUAGAUUAGAGUCAUUAUAGCUGUGUGCUUUUUAAUCAUUCUGCAGUAUAAUUACUGUUUCUACUGUUGUCUUCUGGUUUACACUGUUUCUUUAUUAGCAGCUUUCAUUGCCAGAAGCUUUAAACAUUUAAUAAUCUGUCAAGGUGGUAAUUCGUUGGGGUUUUGUUUUUUAUUUUUUACUUGAAGACCUUUUCAGUGAUAUCUUCAAGCACCUGGUCUGCCCAGAUGCUUUAAUAUUCACUUAUCUCUGUCUGGUUGGCCUCGUGUUGUUUUUAAUUGCCCUUCUUCUGGAUAACCAAAGUUACCCAUUCAUCAUACAGAGAAUGUAAGUAAGUCACGUGUGACUGUAUCAGGCAGUAGGAAAACAGACCCUCCAGAAACAGUAAUGAGGCUGAUGGCCAGAGAUGACACAUGGGCUGUCUGUUGGCACUAGCAAAAGAACUUUCUUGCAGCCUGAUACAGCAUUCACAGUAAAUGCAGACUGUAGUGGUUUUCGUAAUAUGGAGGGAUUACACCACCAUUUCCUGGUUUUAAUGUUUUUUGGGAUUUCCAUUUAGGGUCCCUGCAGGAAUACAGCCAUUCUUCUCCCGAGGCUCCCAUAGGCUUUUCCUAUACAGCAUGCCAGCAUGGAGCAGCUUACCUUUCUCAAAUGCCAGGUGAAGCCAGAGAAUUUAAAGGCAAAAGGCUCUUGGACUGCAAUUCUUGCUGACCUGAGUGUAAGUUGCAGGGCUGUGGCUCCCCAAGGAGUCCUGUAGGGCUGUUCCUCUGCAGCUGGUGUGUCCAUCAGCCUUCCCUCAUCACUGAUGGGCCGCACUGUUGAGUGAUGGCAGAUUGCAGCAGUGAGGACAGCAGUCUCCUCUGGGGCCAGAGCUGUGAGCUGCAGCACUGCCCAGUUCUCAUGGAGUGCACAGCCAGGACACCCUGUGUCCCACUGGGACAAGGCACGGGUGGCUCUGCUGCAGCAGCUGCUCCUUACCCAAAGUGCCUGCUGGAGCUGUCAGCCUGGCUUCUGCAUGUACCCCUGUGCCCCCACCAUGGGCAUGGGGUCUCAGAGCUGGGGCAGCACACUGCAAGGCAGCUUUUCCCGUGUCCAUGAGGUGGUCAGAGACUGGACAGCAUCAGAAAGGGCUGGAGGACAUGAACAGUUUGGUAUAAAUUACUGAGACAGGUGACAUGGUGGCCUGUCAGUAGGUAAAGGACUGUGGUGGUAAGAAAAUGCUCAAUUCUCCCCAUCCUCGGGGGGAGUGGGUUUCCCUGCACUAGAAGUAAAAAUAAAACUUCUCGGUGAGGAAAGAUGGUGGAGAUUGGAAGUAGAAUUCCCGGGGACCUGGUGGUAUUUCAGCUGCUGGUGAUUUCAAAAGAGUGCACGUGACACAAGACUGUCAAACUGACACACAUAGGAUGGGAUCCUCCCUUCUGGCAGGGCAGCAGGUCAGGCUGCCUCUUAGUUCUCUUCCUCCUCCCACUUUCUGUGUGUGGAAGUGCAAGCCAGAGGGAACAGAAAUACUGGGAUUUGCACAUGCUACUUUCCCCUAAAGAUGAAAACAAAAACACAGAGUAAAAGUCGGGUUGUGAUUUUGACAUACAUAGAAAAGAAAAAAAUCCAAAGGAAGACAGUAAUCAUUUAUGACUAAAAAGAGAGUCAAGAAUUACUUUUGAAAAAUAAGAUAUUUACUUAUAUUUUAAAUAACUUCUUACAGAUUUAUAUUUUCUUCACUUUAUAGUUGUGUGCUGGGGAAAUGAUUACUUUACUUUUUCCUAGCAUUCCUUCAACCACUUUGAGGUAAGCUUUUUCAUUAAUGGAAAUUACUGUCUGCAUUUCUUUUAGCACUUUGUCUGUGCCUUAUUUCAUCUUGUCAGAGAAAAGUGUCAGAUAUUAAUUCUUGGGGUUUUUCUUGUCUAUAUGAUAAUCCAGACAAGAUUCUGACAAUUUUCAGUACAAUAGCCUCCUCUCAGGAAAGCUUUGAUUGCACUAAAACAUACUCUGAAGUGCUAAUCUCUUAACCUUCUAGAGUUCAUUAUUUGGACAGAUAAAAAUUGAGUUUAAAAUGACCUAAAAGGUCUUCUUGCCAAGAUAUAAUCUAGUUAAAAUUUUCUCAAAUUGAAUUAUGUGGACUGUAUACCAUGUAUUGAUUAAAGAAAUCUUCUUAAUGUAGUCAUAUAAUAAGACUCUUGACAUAUUUUUUUUUCUCCUUUGAUGGAGUUGGUUUUUAACAGAAACUUCAGCAUUUUGUUUUGUAAAACUGUCACCAUAUUGAUGGCUGCUUAGCUGGACAAGGCUCUGACCUCUGGACCAAUUCUACAUUUGAGGAGAACACAACUGCAAAAUUAUCUAGUCCAGUGCCACUUGUGAAUAAAUUUCUCAUGUUACACUGAUAUGAAGAAGCUGAAGGCUGCUUUGGAUUACAUCCUGAAGGACCGAUGCUGUGGCCUUAGUUCAAGAUGCAUCCUUUGCACUUUUACAAUAGAAAUUUUGGAAAUAUAUUUUGAACCAACCUCUGGUCAAAGAGGAAGAGGCCUGAGGUGUUGCAAGAGGAAAGCACGGCAGUUUGCAGCAGCAGGUCCUUUGCUCCCAGGUUGCAGCCUGAUUGGUGGUGCUGAUAAGUUAUACAAGUCACAAACUUCAAAUGUCACCAUUAUCCAGCCACAUCUGCACUGUCACGAGUGGCAAAACGACAAAAGAAGUGGGUACACUCAUGGUAUCUCUUGCUUCUGUUUUACACCCAUUCUGUAAAGUGUUCAAUUCUGUUAGUUCUUAUUUAAACAAUUUCUCACUUCAGAAAAAGCAAAUACGUUACCGACAUAAUACAUUGCCUUGCACCUCUAGUUUGGACAGAAGAGAUGCAUGAGUAAGUACUUGAGCAGAUGUAAAAGCAUUGCUAAAGAAAUGGACCCUUAUGAGGAUCUAAUUUCAAUUUUGGGGCAAGUUAAUGUGUUGGCUUUGGGAUUACUUUUUUUUUCUUCUGAAUGUAUUUUUUCCCGUAAUGCCAAUAAACUGCAAACAGGAUGAUAGAAAAGAAACUGCAUUGUGAGUCAUAAAAAGGAUUAUUGACUAAAUACCAGUUGUAGGAUCUACACUGCCAAUGUGUAAGCCAGAAAGCAUGUCUUGACUGUACAAUUUUAUUUCUAUUUUCAAAGCAGCAGCAGUUAAAAAAAUCAUUAUCACUUGCGUCUGAGCUGAUCAUGUUUGAUUUGGAUGUCACUGGGAUGCAAUAAACAGGAGACCCCAGGGUGCCAUUUUACUAAGACAAUUUUCAGAGAGGAACCACAGUUUCUGCAGCAAAGCACUGCUGAUUUACAUGGAUUUUCUUGUCACAUGUUUUGGCAAAAUGUAUCAGCUUGUGCUUCUUAGCAUCAACAAAUAAUACUUGACUUGCAAACGAGCUCCUUGGCAAGUACCCAGCCACAGGAGGCUUGGAGACUUGACUGUAUAAAAAAGACUUUCAUUUCACCAAUCUGUGAACUGGCACAACUCCUGCCAUAGUUGUUUGGAGCUGCUCUCUGAUCCUUGCUCUCGAUUCUUGGAUGUAGAAGCUAUGUAACCUGUUAGAUUUUACCAGAUUCCAAGCAAUGAAAAUUAAACAUUUAUUUUUUCAAUUUCCAUGUAAAUACCUCGAAGGGCUCUCAAGCUCAUUUGUGCUCUUAUGUUUGAAAUUAAUCUUUUCUACCAUGUGACAUUGGUAUAUUUUCCCUCACUUUGUAGGCCUUUCAAAAUGUUCACCUUUUAAAGAAAAAAUAAGGCAGCUUACUUUGUAUUUUUCCUGUGCAGUCUUCUUGUUCAUAAUGAGUUUAAAUAUAAGGAAUAUAAACCCAUCUGGAAAUAAAAAUUAUGCACUAGGUUCACUAAAAAAAAGUAAUUACAUUAUAAUCAAACUGUCACUUUAUGAGAUAGUGGGAGAUGAAAUACACCACAAGCUGACAAAAGAAGAUGACGACUUGCUCUUUUAAAUAUCAUCCAUGGCACAAAGCAGUUGAAGAAAACCUGAAUUACAUACAGCGUAAUCAGGAAAGCACUUGGAGCUGGGAAGGUAAAACUCAGCACUAGGACCAGGGAGGCAGAUAGGCUUUCUUAUGGUGGAAUGGGGAACCUUCAGCCUUAUGGAGCCCAACACAUGUACAGGCUACUACUGUCAACAGACUGACAGCCCAAGGUUGUUUGGACACAGCGUGCAAAACACGGACCUGUGAUUAGGAAACACAUUGAAUUCAUAUGUUGUGUUUUGCACGGACCUCCAAUCUGCCACUGUGACAGUUUUGAGUUACUGUCCUUGUUCACCUUUCUCAAAGUAAAUGUGCCCCACCGAGCUGUCAGCCUGUAUUCAGCAGGGGCUGAAUUCCUGUCUCAGGUUAGACAUGCAAGCCAAAAGGGAAAAUCUCAAUGUGUAAGGAGUCAUCUUUGUUCACAUUUUGCUGUUUCUUGUGGCUCCUUCAACCUGCCUUAGUGUGGAUGGAAAUGCCUUGGUUUGAGGCACAAUUCAUGGUCCUGUGUAGCCACUAAGUAGACAGCAGCAUUCAGGUGGGAGUGUUCUUCAGACCCUUGUCAUAUGAGCUGUUGUUGAAUAAAGCUCUUUUUCUCUCCUGAGGUAUUUCUUUGAGAUUUGAAUCUGUUCCCUGUUUUCUGUCCUCUGUCAGCAGUGGAUCCUUUUCACCAGCAGUCCCAGCAAAGGUCUUUGCGCUGACACUCAAGAGCGGACUGGUGGCAAGUGGUGGGCAUGAAUGUGGGGCAUGGGAACAGAGAGAGGGGCUGGUGAUGUGAUUUUGGAUGCAGUCUUGUCUUUCCAGCAGGGAGUAGGGAGGUGACAGGUGGGUGACUGCAAGUUUAUUCUCAUGGAUGGACAGAAGCUGGUGGAAGGCUGGUACCCAGGAGAACCGUUCUUGCUGCCAGUAAUGCAUCUAAUGAAAGAGAAAUUUUUUGUCAUAAAGGGGCUUUCUUCUGGUAACUGAAAAAAGAUUCAGGAACAUGAAUGGAUUGAAAUUUGUGGGUUUGUAGUCUGAUUUUGUUUCUGUUCUAGAGAUAGAAGUGGUGACAUACUGGGAGGUCUAUGCUGAGGAAGUGUCACACCUGAUACCUUUAUUCAGUGUCUUGCUUUUCUCUUUUCAUGCUAUGAAUACAAUGACAGAACAGUGCAGCUUGCUGUGCCAGCCAAGUAUGGUAUUAUUUUCUAUAGGUAGUGGAUAAGACUUUCUUACCCUUUGUGUAUUCAUGACACAUAUCUAUCUGGUAGGAUACUGAGAGCCUCAGGAAAACAGAAGGUGGGGGAGCCCACUGGAGACUUCCCAAUACUACAGCUUGCUUUUUCAAAUUUAAAUCCCUAAUUUGUUUGAGUACAAUUAAUUUUUUUUUUCCUAAGAAAACUGGAAAGAUUUCAGUUCCAAGAAUGUGAAUGUGAAGUGAAACUUCAUCAAAGAGAAAUAAUAAUAAAACCUUGUCCAAAUGCCUA